AAGGCCUUGCGCUUUUGGAGCGGCCGAUGCCUGAUUAGCUUGUUGGUAAGGUAAAAGCUUACCAAGGCUUCGAUCAGUAGCUGGUCUGAGAGGACGACCAGCCACACUGGGACUGAGACACGGCCCAGACUCCUACGGGAGGCAGCAGUGGGGAAUUUUGGACAAUGGGGGCAACCCUGAUCCAGCCAUGCCGCGUGAGUGAAGAAGGCCUUCGGGUUGUAAAGCUCUUUCAGCCGGAACGAAACGGUUACGGUUAAUACCCGUGACUACUGACGGUACCGGAAGAAGAAGCACCGGCUAACUACGUGCCAGCAGCCGCGGUAAUACGUAGGGUGCGAGCGUUAAUCGGAAUUACUGGGCGUAAAGCGUGCGCAGGUGGUUUUGUAAGUCAGAUGUGAAAGCCCCGGGCUCAACCUGGGAACU
RNAcentral lists this ribosomal RNA (423 nucleotides) under uncultured bacterium. RNAcentral describes it as "bacterial SSU rRNA". It matches the Rfam family "Bacterial small subunit ribosomal RNA", at positions 202 to 622 of the family's 1533-position model. The record is from RNAcentral.